AAUUGGAGGGCAAGUCUGGUGCCAGCAGCCGCGGUAAUUCCAGCUCCAAUAGCGUAUAUUAAAGUUGUUGCAGUUAAAAAGCUCGUAGUUGAAUUUCGGGGUUAGUAGGCUGGUCAUGCCUCCGGUAUGUACUGGUCUUACUGACUUCUCCUUUCUGAAGAACUGUAAUGCCAUUAAUUUGGUGUUGCAGGGAAUCAGGACUGUUACUUUGAAAAAAUUAGAGUGUUUAAAGCAGGCUAACGCUUGAAUACAUUAGCAUGGAAUAAUGAAAUAGGACGUUCGAUCCUAUUUUGUUGGUUUCUAGGAUUGACGUAAUGAUUAAUAGGGAUAGUUGGGGGCAUUAGUAUUCAAUUGUCAGAGGUGAAAUUCUUGGAUUUAUUGAAGACUAACUACUGCGAAAGCAUUUGCCAAGGAUGUUUUCAUUAAUCAAGAACGAAAGUUAGGGGAUCGAAGACGAUCAGAUACCGUCGUAGUCUUAACCAUAAACUAUGCCGACUAGGGAUUGGAUGAUGUUAAUUUUUUAAUGACUCAUUCGGCGCCUUACGGGAAACCAAAGUGU
RNAcentral lists this ribosomal RNA (559 nucleotides) under uncultured Glomus. RNAcentral's name for it is "SSU rRNA". It matches the Rfam family "Eukaryotic small subunit ribosomal RNA", at positions 546 to 1106 of the family's 1831-position model. The record is from RNAcentral. Lineage: Eukaryota; Fungi; Glomeromycota; Glomeromycetes; Glomerales; Glomeraceae.